AAUAAGUAAUCGUGAGUUUCAGUGUCCAACGUUUCACCGUCCGUCUUAUUUAAAAUUAUUUUAUAAUUAAUAUUUUUUAUUGUUAUCAGAUAAUAAAACACAAAUAAUACUUUAUGCGUGCCUGAAUUUUUUAAAUAAGAUAAAUAGUUAAACGUAUAAAUGUACUUAAA
Molecule: non-coding RNA, 170 nt
Organism: Oryza glaberrima (African rice)
Lineage: Eukaryota; Viridiplantae; Streptophyta; Magnoliopsida; Poales; Poaceae
Source: Rfam